RNAcentral lists this ribosomal RNA (423 nucleotides) under uncultured bacterium. RNAcentral's name for it is "bacterial SSU rRNA". It matches the Rfam family "Bacterial small subunit ribosomal RNA", at positions 355 to 775 of the family's 1533-position model. The record is from RNAcentral.
UAAGGAAUAUUGGUCAAUGGACGCAAGUCUGAACCAGCCAUGCCGCGUGGAGGAUGAAGGCCCUCUGGGUUGUAAACUUCUUUUAUGGGGGACGAAACCCUGGUAUUCUUACCAGAUUGACGGUACCCUAGGAAUAAGCACCGGCUAACUCCGUGCCAGCAGCCGCGGUAAUACGGAGGGUGCAAGCGUUAUCCGGAUUCACUGGGUUUAAAGGGUGCGUAGGAGGGCAGGUAAGUCAGUGGUGAAAUCUCCAAGCUUAACUUGGAAACUGCCGUUGAUACUAUCUGUCUUGAAUAUUGUGGAGGUGAGCGGAAUAUGUCAUGUAGCGGUGAAAUGCUUAGAUAUGACAUAGAACACCAAUUGCGAAGGCAGCUCACUACUCAAUCAUUGACUCUGAGGCACGAAAGCGUGGGGAUCAAACAG